GACGAACGCUGGCGGCGUGCUUAACACAUGCAAGUCGAGCGGUAAGGCCCUUUCGGGGGUACACGAGCGGCGAACGGGUGAGUAACACGUGAGCAACCUGCCCUUCUCUUUGGAAUAAGCGUUGGAAACGACGUCUAAUGCCGAAUAUGACCCCCUGUCGCAUGGUGGGGGGUGGAAAGCUCUGGCGGAGAAGGAUGGGCUCGCGGCCUAUCAGCUUGUUGGUGUGGGUAAUGGCCCACCAAGGCGACGACGGGUAGCCGGCCUGAGAGGGUGACCGGCCACACUGGGACUGAGACACGGCCCAGACUCCUACGGGAGGCAGCAGUGGGGAAUAUUGGACAAUGGGCGAAAGCCUGAUCCAGCAACGCCGCGUGAGGGAUGACGGCCUUCGGGUUGUAAACCUCUUUCAGCAGGGACGAAGCGAGAGUGACGGUACCUGCAGAAGAAGGACCGGCCAACUACGUGCCAGCAGCCGCGGUAAUACGUAGGGUCCGAGCGUUGUCCGGAAUUAUUGGGCGUAAAGGGCUCGUAGGCGGUUUGUCGCGUCGGGAGUGAAAACUCAGGGCUCAACCCUGAGCGUGCUUCCGAUACGGGCAGACUAGAGGUAUGCAGGGGAGAACGGAAUUCCUGGUGUAGCGGUGGAAUGCGCAGAUAUCAGGAGGAACACCGGUGGCGAAGGCGGUUCUCUGGGCAUUACCUGACGCUGAGGAGCGAAAGCAUGGGGAG
This 726-nucleotide ribosomal RNA is filed under the name uncultured bacterium. Its description in RNAcentral is "bacterial SSU rRNA". It matches the Rfam family "Bacterial small subunit ribosomal RNA", at positions 28 to 768 of the family's 1533-position model. The record is from RNAcentral.